This 495-nucleotide ribosomal RNA is filed under the name uncultured bacterium. RNAcentral's name for it is "partial 16S ribosomal RNA". It matches the Rfam family "Bacterial small subunit ribosomal RNA", at positions 30 to 507 of the family's 1533-position model. The record is from RNAcentral.
UGAACGCUGGCGGCGUGCCUAAUACAUGCAAGUCGAGCGAACAGACGAGGAGCUUGCUCCUCUGACGUUAGCGGCGGACGGGUGAGUAACACGUGGAUAACCUACCUAUAAGACUGGGAUAACUUCGGGAAACCGGAGCUAAUACCGGAUAAUAUAUUGAACCGCAUGGUUCAAUAGUGAAAGACGGUUUUGCUGUCACUUAUAGAUGGAUCCGCGCCGCAUUAGCUAGUUGGUAAGGUAACGGCUUACCAAGGCGAUGAUGCGUAGCCGACCUGAGAGGGUGAUCGGCCACACUGGAACUGAGACACGGUCCAGACUCCUACGGGAGGCAGCAGUAGGGAAUCUUCCGCAAUGGGCGAAAGCCUGACGGAGCAACGCCGCGUGAGUGAUGAAGGUCUUCGGAUCGUAAAACUCUGUUAUUAGGGAAGAACAAAUGUGUAAGUAACUAUGCACGUCUUGACGGUACCUAAUCAGAAAGCCACGGCUAACUACGUG